Molecule: ribosomal RNA, 438 nt
Filed under: Triticum aestivum (bread wheat)
Lineage: Eukaryota; Viridiplantae; Streptophyta; Magnoliopsida; Poales; Poaceae
Description: partial small subunit ribosomal RNA
Source: RNAcentral
AUGUCCGAUGUAGUGAAGUUCAGAUUUUACUACGGUCCUGGUACUGUCCAAACAACUGAGUUGGGAGCAGAUCUGAGUGAAUUUACUCACAUAGAGGUGCCAAUGAGCGCACCACAAACAUGGUCUGUCAGUAAGUUGAAAGAAUGGAUUGCGGCAAGUUUAGGUCUUGAUACUGAAACACACACCGUCGGUGUUCAUGCAUUGUGGACACGGUCAAGUUCAAAAAUUUACUUUUAUUUGAGGCCAAUAGAGGGAGACUCCGAUUGGGUGCGGUGGUUACAAGGUUGUGAACGAAGGGGAUGCAAUCCUGUUGCUUUAGUGCUUCCCGUCGUGAAGGAGGUCACUGCACAUGAAGGCGAGGGUGGCUACGAAGGACAGAGCAGUCAGGUAGAAGGAGGAAAUGCUUAUGAUACGAACAAGGACAGAGCAGUCAGGUAG